This 569-nucleotide long non-coding RNA is filed under the name Musa acuminata (dwarf banana). RNAcentral describes it as "long non-coding RNA (MACU_LNC007483)". Lineage: Eukaryota; Viridiplantae; Streptophyta; Magnoliopsida; Zingiberales; Musaceae. The record is from RNAcentral.
CUCUCUCUUUUCUUUAAGUAAGCAGUUUGGUUACCGAACAAGCAAAUGGUCCCGUUGCACGUUAGGAGAGUUCGAUUUCAUCUAUGCCUCCUCUGUUCAACUUAGCUAAGUGGUAAAUUGUUUCAACGUAGCGGUAAAGAACUUUCACUGACUUUCAUGCUUGGACCACGUGUUGGCUUUAACACCUGAUAGUCCUAUCUUUCUCUUUCCCGAUGACUUGAUACAACACCUCAGCAGAUAGAGUUUAUUCACUACUGUCUACGAGAACAAGUAAACUAUACCGAGCGAGAGGCAACUAGAGAUUCUUCAUUACAGCCAAUGACAACAGGUAAACUAUGUAAAGCUAAUAUCCAAUGAUAACAGGUAAACUAUGUAAAGCGAAUAUAUCUUUAAGCACUACUGGGCGAGAUCUACUUUCUUUUGUUGGAUACUGAAACCUAUUGCCUUUGCUUUUCUUACCCGACUUAACCUAUAGGACAUAAUUGAGUCUUUCGAGACCUUAGAUGGGCAAGAGAGAGUCAAGGGAGAAACCGAUGACCAUCAAACUCCCGAAAACAAGACUGGAAGUU